RNAcentral lists this ribosomal RNA (460 nucleotides) under uncultured bacterium. RNAcentral describes it as "partial 16S ribosomal RNA". It matches the Rfam family "Bacterial small subunit ribosomal RNA", at positions 338 to 795 of the family's 1533-position model. The record is from RNAcentral.
CCUACGGGAGGCAGCAGUGAGGAAUAUUGGUCAAUGGGCGCAAGCCUGAACCAGCCAAGUCGCGUGAGGGAUGACGGUCCUAUGGAUUGUAAACCUCUUUUGUCGGGGAGCAAGGCCCGCCACGUGUGGCGGGAAGGAGAGUACCCGAAGAAAAAGCAUCGGCUAACUCCGUGCCAGCAGCCGCGGUAAUACGGAGGAUGCGAGCGUUAUCCGGAUUUAUUGGGUUAAAAGGGUGCGUAGGCGGAAGGUUAAGUCAGCGGUAAAAUGUCGGUGCUCAACACCGGCCUGCCGUUGAAACUGGUCUUCUUGAGUGAGCGAGAAGUAUGCGGAAUGCGUGGUGUAGCGGUGAAAUGCAUAGAUAUCACGCAGAACUCCGAUUGCGAAGGCAGCAUACCGGCGCGCAACUGACGCUGAGGCACGAAAGCGUGGGGAUCGAACAGGAUUAGAUACCCGGGUAGUC